AUAAAACUUAGAUUCGAAAAUGUAAAAUACAUGCUACUUAUAGAGAAAUAUUCCGAAACCCUAAUACUCAAAACGACGCAGUAUUGGGACGGAUUAAGAACGAUACUCAACUCAGGUGGUCGAGUGAAUGGUCGAGUGAUAAGCUGGAGUCUUCUUCUCUUCCUUGUGCUCGAUUGUCUGGUUGAGUGCGGAAUGGAGAAGACUCUGAAGCUGGCAGUCGAGUAAGGACGUCGAGUGAAUGAUGAUAAGGGACUCGACCAUGUGGUAGAGUGAUUGGUCGAGUGGAUGGUGGCUGUAGUACUCGACUUGGUGGUAGAGUGAUUGGUCGAGUGAAUGAUGAUGGUGAUACUCGGCCAUAUUGGUAGAGUGAUUGCUCGAGUCAAUGAUGAUGGUGAUACUCUGCCAUGUUGGUAGAGUGAUAGGUCGAGUGAAUGAUGAUGGUGAAGGCAGCUACUCGACCAAGGGGUCGAGUGGUGUUGUGAAGUGGGGAAGUCGUCUACUCGACCUUGUGGUCGAGUGGUGGAUAGAAUGUCGUGGUCGAGUGAUUUGCUGUAGAGGUUGUGGUCAAGUACUUCAGGAACUUCAGGAUGACUGUUAAUACAACUCUCUUGUUUAUGACAUAACUCAGCACCUCUAUUUAUAUGAAAACUCUAGUCCUAAUCCUACUAGGAAAACAUAUAUUAAGAUAACUCCUAAAGAGAUUUGAGAUUAUCACUUCCUAAACCAUAACUCGGUUAGGAUCUAAACCAUAACUCGGUUU
This 760-nucleotide small RNA is filed under the name Arabidopsis thaliana (thale cress). RNAcentral's name for it is "ATSL092660". Lineage: Eukaryota; Viridiplantae; Streptophyta; Magnoliopsida; Brassicales; Brassicaceae. The record is from RNAcentral.